RNAcentral lists this ribosomal RNA (804 nucleotides) under uncultured Bacteroidota bacterium. RNAcentral's name for it is "bacterial SSU rRNA". It matches the Rfam family "Bacterial small subunit ribosomal RNA", at positions 1 to 799 of the family's 1533-position model. The record is from RNAcentral. Lineage: Bacteria; Pseudomonadati; Bacteroidota.
AGGGAGUUUGAUCCUGGCUCAGGAUGAACGCUAGCUACAGGCUUAACACAUGCAAGUCGAGGGGCAGCAGAUCGAAAGCUUGCUUUUGAUGCUGGCGACCGGCGCACGGGUGAGUAACGCGUAUCCAACCUUCCCUAUAGUAGAGGAUAGCCCGGCGAAAGUCGGAUUAAUACUCUAUGUUUUCCAAUGCAGACAUCUAAGUUGGAACAAAGGUUCACCGCUAUAGGAUGGGGAUGCGUCUGAUUAGGUUGUUGGCGGGGUAACGGCCCACCAAGCCUACGAUCAGUAGGGGUUCUGAGAGGAAGGUCCCCCACAUUGGAACUGAGACACGGUCCAAACUCCUACGGGAGGCAGCAGUGAGGAAUAUUGGUCAAUGGGCGAGAGCCUGAACCAGCCAAGUAGCGUGCAGGAAGACGGCCCUAUGGGUUGUAAACUGCUUUUAUACGGGGAUAAAGUGAGGGACGUGUCCCUUAUUGUAGGUACCGUAUGAAUAAGGACCGGCUAAUUCCGUGCCAGCAGCCGCGGUAAUACGGAAGGUCCGGGCGUUAUCCGGAUUUAUUGGGUUUAAAGGGAGCGCAGGCCGACUGGUAAGCGUGACGUGAAAUGUAGCCGCUCAACGGCUGAACUGCGUCGCGAACUGUCAGUCUUGAGUGAGUUCGAUGUUGGCGGAAUUCGUGGUGUAGCGGUGAAAUGCUUAGAUAUCACGAAGAACUCCGAUUGCGAAGGCAGCCAACAAGGCCUUUACUGACGCUAAAGCUCGAAGGUGCGGGUAUCGAACAGGAUUAGAUACCCUGGUAGUCCCCU